RNAcentral lists this ribosomal RNA (504 nucleotides) under uncultured bacterium. Its description in RNAcentral is "partial 16S ribosomal RNA". It matches the Rfam family "Bacterial small subunit ribosomal RNA", at positions 29 to 523 of the family's 1533-position model. The record is from RNAcentral.
AUUGAACGCUGGCGGCAGGCCUAACACAUGCAAGUCGAGCGGUAGCACAGAGAGCUUGCUCUCGGGUGACGAGCGGCGGACGGGUGAGUAAUGUCUGAGAAACUGCCCGAUGGAGGGGGAUAACUACUGGAAACGGUAGCUAAUACUGCAUAACGUCGCAAGACCAAAGUGGGGGACCUUCGGGCCUCACACAAUCGGAUGUGCCCAGAUGGGAUUAGCUAGUAGGUGGGGUAAUGGCUCACCUAGGCGACGAUCCCUAGCUGGUCUGAGAGGAUGACUAGCCACACUGGAACUGAGACACGGUCCAGAAGCCUACGGGAGGCAGCAGUGGGGAAUAUUGCACAAUGGGCGCAAGCCUGAUGCAGCCAUGCCGCGUGUAUGAAGAAGGCCUUCGGGUUGUAAAGUACUUUCAGCGGGGAGGAAGGCGGUGAGGUUAAUAACCUUGCCGAUUGACGUUACCCGCAGAAGAAGCACCGGCUAACUCCGUGCCAGCCGCCGCGGUAA